UAUGUACAUUGAUUUGUUUCCUUGUACAUUGGUUGAAUGGUGUUUUUGUAAAUGUACACAUGGCUUCCAGGCGACAUCUCCUAAACUAUCGCGGAGAAGUUUACCUUCCCUCCGGUAGUUUGUCACAACAAGUCUGAUUAAAUAUAUGACUUUGGUCCAUUUACCUGUGGAUUUCAGCGCCACUGUGCUCCUGCUGCAGCAUUCAGACAAGAGGUGGUCCCAAAAACGUAACGCUAUUUUGAUCCGUUACACUGAGUAGAAUUUCAUGAAGAAGCACUUCCUUCUGCUGGGCGGAUGCCAGUGGAAUUUUGCAAGACAGCGCAUCACGAGGCACAGAGGAAGGCUGAAAUCAGAGGGGAGGAGGAGGACGAGGAGGAAGGAACGGCUGAUGGGACUUGAUUGGUGGUAACAGGGGGUGGUGCCGUGCUGGUUGCCCAUCAGCACAUCCUCGCUGACAGCCGGUGGCCUGUCCGUCAGCAGCCAAGCUGCACUCCCUCGCCAUCCGUUGCAUCCAAGUCCUGAGAGGGAAAUGAAAGCUGGUUGGGGAGAUGCAGUCAACAAGGUGGUAGGAAUUUUAAUGACCGGCUUUCUGCUGCCUUUCCCUCUCCCGUCGUUUUGGCACUCAAAUGAUCCGGCAGACUUUGCUGUUUGGCACCUUCUGGCUUGCCUUCCUGAAAAGAGUGGUGGACAGAAUAAAAGGCCAUGUCCACCACACAUCCCUGCCCACUUUCUGAUAAAAUUGUAUUUUAGUUAAAGCCAAGGCAAAACCGCUUGAACAAAUAGAUGGACCUUAUUUUCUGAAAGCUUUAUUCUUUUGACUUUUAUACUUUGGUA
This is a long non-coding RNA of Sander lucioperca (pikeperch), 834 nucleotides long. RefSeq lists it as uncharacterized. The record is from RefSeq and is a predicted model, not a curated record. Lineage: Eukaryota; Metazoa; Chordata; Actinopteri; Perciformes; Percidae. The transcript is spliced from 5 exons.